AGGAUUAUGAGUACAUGAAUGCCUCAUAAAACUCUUAAAGGAUACUUUGAAUAACUUACUUUAAAAUGGUAAGAUUAUCAAAGGACGUCUUAAAUCGGAAUACGUAGUUUUACUAAAAACCGUACCUUUAAAAUGGAUGGAAAUCGUGAACGAACUUUCGAUGAAAAAGGAUGGUCAAGAACAUGUGAUGUUGGACCAGAUGGAUGAAAGGGAUGUAUGAUCACAAAGGGAAAAAGAGAAAUGAUUUUUAAGUAUUUGAGUAACGAUUUUAGAAAUAUCGGAAACUAACGGAUUUUUAUUUUGGCAGUUACGAAGAUUUCGGUGUUCGAACCUUGAAACCAAACCACCCUUAGUUGACGAGUUAAAGCACGCUUCAUUAAGGUGAGAGAGAACACAUCGUGACAUAGUGGUGUCCGAAUAUGACACCCGGAUCUCCUAAACCAUCUUAAAAGUUUUGGAGUUAACUUGGGUGUUAAGAAACCUAAGAUUUUUAUGUUUGAAUGCUUUUGAAUAUAUAUAGUUGUUGAUGAAAUAUGUUGAAUAUUGUAUAUGAAUGUUGUUGAGAACUUUUCUGUGUAUAGGUGUUUGAAAAAUCAUGUUUAAAUGGGUUUCGAUUGUCGAAAAGGGCAAAUUUGAUAUUCUAUCCAAGUCCCUGUCGCUUGGGCGAGAAACUCUCGCCUGGGCGAGCACAGCCUCGCUUGGGCGAGGACCGGGCGAGGGGAAGUUUUGGUUCUGGAACUCCCUCGCCUGGGCGACAAAGUCUCGCCUGGGCGACAAAGUCUCGCUUGGGCGAGCAAGCCUCGCCUGGGCGAGUAAGGGCCUCGCUUGGGCGAGAACGCCCAGGAUUUGAAUGAGCCCUUGGAACUCCCUCGCUUGGGCGAGAGAUGUCUCGCUUGAGCGAGGAGAGGCCUCGCUUGCGCGAUAGUACCUUCGCCUUGACGAGAAAAGCUUCAGUUUAUUUGAGAUUUAAAGAUGAAUUGUCGCUUGAGCGACUAGUCCCUGCCUUGGCGAGGGACAGUGUGAAAAGAUUAAAAUGAAAUGAUGUUGUGAACAAUGUGAUGAACCCGGGUAGGGUGUUUUGUGAUAUAAAGGUUGUGGAAUGUGAUCAUGGCUUAGAUGAGAAGCAUGACUCCACAAAAGUAUGAAAGCAUUGUUUGUGUUUA
RNAcentral lists this long non-coding RNA (1163 nucleotides) under Lupinus angustifolius (narrow-leaved blue lupine). RNAcentral describes it as "long non-coding RNA (LANG_LNC003537)". The record is from RNAcentral. Lineage: Eukaryota; Viridiplantae; Streptophyta; Magnoliopsida; Fabales; Fabaceae.